UACGGAGGGGGCGAGCGUUAUUCGGAAUUAUUGGGCGUAAAGGGCGCGUAGGCGGCUGUACAAGUCAAAGGUGAAAUCCCUCGGCUCAACUGAGGAACUGCCUUUGAAACUGUACGGCUUGAGGCCGGGAGGGGGUAGCGGAAUUCCCAGUGUAGCGGUGAAAUGCGUAGAUACUGGGAGGAACACCAGUGGCGAAGGCGGCUAACUGGACCGGUUCUGACGCUGAGGCGCGAAAGCGUGGGUAGCAAACAGG
Molecule: ribosomal RNA, 253 nt
Filed under: uncultured bacterium
Lineage: Bacteria
Description: partial 16S ribosomal RNA
Rfam family: Bacterial small subunit ribosomal RNA
Source: RNAcentral